GGAUGUGAGGAUGAUCUAGCUGCGACACCUGCCACCACAUUGAUCUUUAGGGUUGAUUCGACUGAUCUGGCUGGCUAGGCGGGUGUCCCCUUCCUUCCUCACCACUCACUCCAUGUGCGUCCCUCCCAAAGCUGCCCUUCUCUUGGGAAAAUUGAACUUUACAUCUCUCAAUUUCCCUUUACUUGAUUGUGACUGUGAUACUCUUUUUUUUGGUUACCUUAGAAGUUAUAACACCAACUGAUACAAAAUCCAAGCUUUUUAAUAUUUAUAUCUUUAUUCAGAGUAAUACAGGUUCCUUAGGCUACUGUAGAGAACCUUCUUU
RNAcentral lists this small nuclear RNA (322 nucleotides) under Cricetulus griseus (Chinese hamster). RNAcentral's name for it is "7SK RNA". It matches the Rfam family "7SK RNA". From Rfam's summary of the family: 7SK was discovered as an abundant small nuclear RNA in the mid-70s but a possible function has only recently been suggested. Two independent studies have found that 7SK RNA binds the CDK9/cyclin T complex (known as elongation factor P-TEFb). The record is from Rfam by way of RNAcentral. Lineage: Eukaryota; Metazoa; Chordata; Mammalia; Rodentia; Cricetidae.